Molecule: ribosomal RNA, 119 nt
Organism: Gossypium arboreum
Lineage: Eukaryota; Viridiplantae; Streptophyta; Magnoliopsida; Malvales; Malvaceae
Source: Rfam
GGGUGCGAUCAUACCAGCACUAAUGCACCUGAUCCCAUAAGAACUCCGCAGUUAAGCAGGCUUGGGCGAGAGUAGUACUAGGAUGGGUGACCUCUUGGGAAGUCCUCGUGUUGCACCCC